Molecule: ribosomal RNA, 1390 nt
Filed under: uncultured bacterium
Lineage: Bacteria
Description: bacterial SSU rRNA
Rfam family: Bacterial small subunit ribosomal RNA
Source: RNAcentral
UGGCAGUCGAACGGUAACAGCCAAGCAGCUUGCUUCUUUGCUGACGAGUGGCGGACGGGUGAGUAAUGUCUGGGAAACUGCCUGAUGGAGGGGGAUAACUACUGGAAACGGUAGCUAAUACCGCAUAACGUCGCAAGACCAAAGAGGGGGACCUUCGGGCCUCUUGCCAUCGGAUGUGCCCAGAUGGGAUUAGCUAGUAGGUGGGGUAACGGCUCACCUAGGCGACGAUCCCUAGCUGGUCUGAGAGGAUGACCAGCCACACUGGAACUGAGACACGGUCCAGACUCCUACGGGAGGCAGCAGUGGGGAAUAUUGCACAAUGGGCGCAAGCCUGAUGCAGCCAUGCCGCGUGUAUGAAGAAGGCCUUCGGGUUGUAAAGUACUUUCAGCGGGGAGGAAGGGAGUAAAGUUAAUACCUUUGCUCAUUGACGUUACCCGCAGAAGAAGCACCGGCUAACUCCGUGCCAGCAGCCGCGGUAAUACGGAGGGUGCAAGCGUUAAUCGGAAUUACUGGGCGUAAAGCGCACGCAGGCGGUUUGUUAAGUCAGAUGUGAAAUCCCCGGGCUCAACCUGGGAACUGCAUCUGAUACUGGCAAGCUUGAGUCUCGUAGAGGGGGGUAGAAUUCCAGGUGUAGCGGUGAAAUGCGUAGAGAUCUGGAGGAAUACCGGUGGCGAAGGCGGCCCCCUGGACGAAGACUGACGCUCAGGUGCGAAAGCGUGGGGAGCAAACAGGGAUUAGAUACCCUGGUAGUCCACGCCGUAAACGAUGUCGACUUGGAGGUUGUGCCCUUGAGGCGUGGCUUCCGGAGCUAACGCGUUAAGUCGACCGCCUGGGGAGUACGGCCGCAAGGUUAAAACUCAAAUGAAUUGACGGGGGCCCGCACAAGCGGUGGAGCAUGUGGUUUAAUUCGAUGCAACGCGAAGAACCUUACCUGGUCUUGACAUCCACGGAAGUUUUCAGAGAUGAGAAUGUGCCUUCGGGAACCGUGAGACAGGUGCUGCAUGGCUGUCGUCAGCUCGUGUUGUGAAAUGUUGGGUUAAGUCCCGCAACGAGCGCAACCCUUAUCCUUUGUUGCCAGCGGUCCGGCCGGGAACUCAAAGGAGACUGCCAGUGAUAAACUGGAGGAAGGUGGGGAUGACGUCAAGUCAUCAUGGCCCUUACGACCAGGGCUACACACGUGCUACAAUGGCGCAUACAAAGAGAAGCGACCUCGCGAGAGCAAGCGGACCUCAUAAAGUGCGUCGUAGUCCGGAUUGGAGUCUGCAACUCGACUCCAUGAAGUCGGAAUCGCUAGUAAUCGUGGAUCAGAAUGCCACGGUGAAUACGUUCCCGGGCCUUGUACACACCGCCCGUCACACCAUGGGAGUGGGUUGCAAAAGAAGUAGGUAGC